RNAcentral lists this long non-coding RNA (1280 nucleotides) under Mus musculus (house mouse). RNAcentral describes it as "predicted gene, 30961". Lineage: Eukaryota; Metazoa; Chordata; Mammalia; Rodentia; Muridae. The record is from RNAcentral.
ACUGGAAACCCAGGGGUGGACCUGUCCAGAGCCCAUGUUUUUUCUGACAUGUCAGUGCACUGUUCUGUGGGGACCUGUUGCUACCGACCGAAAUUCUAAGAACCCAGGAAGCCAUGAUCGCUGAACAAAGAAUAGUGCCAUGUCUCCACAUUCCAAAUGGGUAAAUGUUUUGCACCUCCUUCGUUCUUGAUUGGAGAUGAGUUUACUGACAAAGGAAUAAAAGAAGCCAUUGAAAUAAAAAUGUGAUUGCUUAGUCCCCAGCAAGAUAAUAGCAGAGGCAAGAAACUCUACAGCCCAGGAGACUGGUAGCUUGUCAGAGCAUCUGAGCUGACAUCAAGCCUUCUUCGAAGCAGUUACAGGGAAUCUGGAGAGUGCCAGCAACAGUAUUCCCUGAGAUCCAAGGCAAACAAAGCCAGCCUUCUCAACCCUGCAGAUUGACAGCCUGGGAAGGGAUAAGCAGUUCUCAGCAUUCUUCCAAGGGCCUGAGAGGAGUGCCAGCCUGAGUGAACCUUGGCAAGACAGGCCUGGGAACCUUCUAGAAGCUGCCCACCUGGAAUGAACCAGUCGACUCCCCUUCUUCCCUCUCUCCCCUUCCCUCCUGCUGUCAUCCAAGAGAUGGCCAAGAAGCACAAGUCAGCAUCAAGACACACAGCUGGAAAUGGGACUGCAGAGGUGACUGACCAUGUGGCCUAGGAGUCAGAAUCCUCAAAUGGGAAGGCCCUAACUGAGGGCAGAAACCCAGAUCUACCUCCUUUGGUGAGCUUGUUGUGGCUUCCAGAUGCAGUGAGGAAGGAACACGUGCCAGGUGCCUCUUUCUCACCCUGGAGCCAGGCACAAGAGUUAUGCUCAGGGAUGCCCAAGCCUAGGGACUAUCUCAGACACAGGAGGUCACUCUCAUGAUGUGGUUUGAGAACCUGGGGUGCUAAAGAUUAUGGUUUUUUUUUCAUAUUCUGCUGGUUUGAGAGAAAAUUACCUUUUAAAAAUGACCAGUAGGUGGUCAGAUUUUCUUUCUAAAUUAAAAGUUGACAUAAAAAUACUUUUUUUUUGACUCAGCACUUCAGUCAUUCUAGUUUGACCAAUUGUCUUUCAUAGAUAAAGAACAUGCAAGAAACAAAUGUGCAAAACCAAGCACAUUGUAACAUUAUAAUAGUGAAGACAUAUGAAUUAUGUAAGCGUCUAAUUACAAGGGAAUGGCUGAAUAAAUUAUGGCAUGUGACAGAAUACUUUGCAGCAGUUAAAAGGAAAAUAUAGAGACUAAUAAACUGAGUUGUUGAGAAAAA